UCAGAUUGAACGCUGGCGGCGUGCUUAACACAUGCAAGUCGUGCGAGAAAGGUCCUUCGGGGACUGAGUAGAGCGGCGCACGGGUGAGUAACGCGUGGGUGACCUACCCAGGAGACCGGGAUAACAGUGGGAAACUGCUGCUAAUACCGGGUACGCUUCAUAUUUCACGUAUGGGGGGAAAGGCGGCCUCUGCUUGCAAGCUGCCACUCUUGGAUGGGCCCGCGUCUCAUUAGCUUGUUGGUAGGGUAACGGCCUACCAAGGCGACGAUGAGUAGCUGGUCUGAGAGGAUGAUCAGCCACACUGGGACUGGAACACGGCCCAGACUCCUACGGGAGGCAGCAGUGGGGAAUAUUGCGCAAUGGGCGAAAGCCUGACGCAGCGACGCCGCGUGAGGGAAGAAGGCCUUCGGGUCGUAAACCUCUGUCAGGAGGGAAGAAACCAUGGGAGUCGAAUAGGCUCUCGUGCUGACGGUACCUCCGGAGGAAGCACCGGCUAACUCCGUGCCAGCAGCGGC
This 515-nucleotide ribosomal RNA is filed under the name uncultured bacterium. RNAcentral describes it as "bacterial SSU rRNA". It matches the Rfam family "Bacterial small subunit ribosomal RNA", at positions 24 to 518 of the family's 1533-position model. The record is from RNAcentral.